AAGAUUUGACCGUACUGUAAACCGACACAGGUGAUCAGGUAGAGAAUACCAAGGCGCUUGAGAGAACUUGGGUGAAGGAACUAGGCAAAAUGGUACCGUAACUUCGGGAGAAGGUACGCUCCCUUUGGUGAAGCAUUUACUGCGUAAGCUAGGGGGAGUCGAAGAAACCAGGUGGCUGCAACUGUUUAUUAAAAACAUAGCACUCUGCAAACACGUAAGUGGACGUAUAGGGUGUGACGCCUGCCCGGUGCCGGAAGGUUAAUUGAUGGGGUUAG
Molecule: ribosomal RNA, 275 nt
Filed under: Alexandrium margalefii
Lineage: Eukaryota; Dinophyceae; Gonyaulacales; Pyrocystaceae
Description: partial Bacterial large subunit ribosomal RNA
Rfam family: Bacterial large subunit ribosomal RNA
Source: RNAcentral